AUACGUAGGGUGCGAGCAUUAAUCGGAAUUACUGGGCGUAAAGCGUGCGCAGGCGGUUGUGCAAGACAGAUGUGAAAUCCCCGGGCUUAACCUGGGAACUGCAUUUGUGACUGCACGGCUAGAGUGCGGCAGAGGGGAGUGGAAUUCCGCGUGUAGCAGUGAAAUGCGUAGAUAUGCGGAGGAACACCGAUGGCGAAGGCAGCUCCCUGGGCCUGCACUGACGCUCAUGCACGAAAGCGUGGGGAGCAAACAGGAUUAGAUACCCUGGUAGUCCACGCCCUAAACGAUGUCAACUGGUUGUUGGUCCUUCACUGGAUCAGUAACGUAGCUAACGCGUGAAGUUGACCGCCUGGGGAGUACGGCCGCAAGGUUGAA
This 375-nucleotide ribosomal RNA is filed under the name uncultured bacterium. RNAcentral describes it as "bacterial SSU rRNA". It matches the Rfam family "Bacterial small subunit ribosomal RNA", at positions 523 to 898 of the family's 1533-position model. The record is from RNAcentral.